This 464-nucleotide ribosomal RNA is filed under the name uncultured bacterium. RNAcentral describes it as "partial 16S ribosomal RNA". It matches the Rfam family "Bacterial small subunit ribosomal RNA", at positions 28 to 507 of the family's 1533-position model. The record is from RNAcentral.
GACGAACGCUGGCGGCGUGCUUAACACAUGCAAGUCGAGCGGAAAGGCCCUUUCGGGGGUACUCUAGCGGCGAACGGGCGAGUAACACGUGAGUAAUCUGCCCUGCACUUGGGGAUAACCUCCGGAAACGGUGGCUAAUACCCGAUACGACCAUUCCUCGCAUGAGGUGGGGGUGGAAAGUUUUUCGGUGGGGGAUGUGCUCGCGGCCUAUCAGCUUGUUGGUGGGGUAAUGGCCUACCAAGGCUUCGACGGGUAGCCGGCCUGAGAGGGUGACCGGCCACACUGGGACUGAGACACGGACCAGACUGCUACGUGAGGCAGCAGUGGGGAAUAUUGGACAAUGGGCGGAAGCCUGAGACAGCAACGCCGGGUGAGGGAUGACGGCCUGCGGGUUGUAAACCGCUUUCACCUGUGACGAAGCGAAAGUGACGGUAGCAGGAGAAGAAGCACCGGCCAACUACGUG